GGAAUCUUCCACAAUGGGCGCAAGCCUGAUGGAGCAACACCGCGUGAGUGAAGAAGGGUUUCGGCUCGUAAAGCUCUGUUGUUAGAGAAGAACGUGCGUGAGAGCAACUGUUCACGCAGUGACGGUAUCUAACCAGAAAGUCACGGCUAACUCCGUGCCAGCAGCCGCGGUAAUACGGAGGAUGCAAGCGUUAUCCGGAUUUAUUGGGUUUAAAGGGUGCGUAGGCGGGCUGCUAAGCGUGAGGUGAAAUGCCACGGCUCAACCGUGGGACUGCCUCGCGAACUGGUAGUCUUGAAUGUCCGUGCCGUGGGAGGAAUGUGUGGUGUAGCGGUGAAAUGCAUAGAGAUCACACAGAACACCGAUUGCGAAGGCAUCUCACGAACGGAUGAUUGACGCUGAGGCACGAAAGCGUGGGGAUCAAACA
Molecule: ribosomal RNA, 424 nt
Filed under: uncultured bacterium
Lineage: Bacteria
Description: bacterial SSU rRNA
Rfam family: Bacterial small subunit ribosomal RNA
Source: RNAcentral